AUUGUAGUUAUACCRAAAGUUCUCUUUGAAGUUGCCCUUACCUGCAGUGUGUUUCUCUUCUGAUUUAAUCAUAACUGUGCAGCACAUGCGGGCUUGGGAAGAGGGACCGGUGUGAGACCGUCGGGUGAGCUGCCUGUGCUGCAUCGAGCUCUGCUUUCCAGGGAGCGCUCCUGGAAACCACUCUGCUCUGCCGAGAGACCGGCCCCGGGGCGCUGCGUCGGUCCUGAGCAAGGGGCGGGAAGAACACGCUGCCCGAGGCUGCUGCCGGCCAAGGCGGAAAGUCCAGAGGAUAGAGGUGUUUCUGGUCUACUUUGAGGCCGAURGAUGUUUUUGGAGUAUUUUUUUUUCAAUCUUAAUGAAAAUGUGAAAUUUUAAAGAACUGGUAUUCYCCGUUCCAAACAAUGAUGA
Nothoprocta perdicaria is the source of this 408-nucleotide long non-coding RNA. RefSeq lists it as uncharacterized. Lineage: Eukaryota; Metazoa; Chordata; Aves; Tinamiformes; Tinamidae. The record is from RefSeq and is a predicted model, not a curated record. The transcript has 2 exons.